This 697-nucleotide long non-coding RNA is filed under the name Vigna radiata. RNAcentral's name for it is "long non-coding RNA (VRAD_LNC013998)". Lineage: Eukaryota; Viridiplantae; Streptophyta; Magnoliopsida; Fabales; Fabaceae. The record is from RNAcentral.
UCUAGACUACCCAAACAAACCAAAUACACCCAACACACCAAAUGCUUAAAAUCACCCUCUCACUUUCUAUUUAACAAUAACCCAAAAUGUUCCCUAAUUGUUAAACUGUUUAUUAACUAACAUAUUACAAUAGAAUACUUACCCUCAACCCCAUUCUUACUAAUCCAAUUGGUCAUCGGAGAAUAAUCAAAUGUUUGACGCAUCAAACUCACCAUAAGCGCCGGUGCAUAUGACUAGUCACAACUUGCUAGACCAGGCCAGGGCUGCUCUAUGAUCAGGGAUGCACCAACUCCAAUUUUUAAGAUUCUUCUAUCCUACCAACACAAUACUCUCAACAAGUCACAAUUAACAUGCCUAAAUUACCCUAACAUAAUGUAAGAGCCCCUAACCCCAAAUUUCUCAAAGUUAAUAAUUCACUUCCCUUGACACAACCUGAAACAAUACCUAUGCACAUACUUCCUACCCGUAUUCAUGUUAUUACCAAAUUCUUAUUCAAAAUCUUCCCCCACAUGCUCAAUCACAACCAACAUACUCAUCCAACGCAAUUCAUGUUUAAUACAUCCAAUUUCAUAAAUUCACAGAUUCAGUUAAAGCCACUCAACAUGCUAAAAAAAAAGAAUGCACUAUAGUAGUACAACAAGUUUAAAUAUAUCAAGCAGGCACAUCAUACAACUAAAGAGACAUAACUAGCUCCCCU